Molecule: ribosomal RNA, 253 nt
Filed under: uncultured bacterium
Lineage: Bacteria
Description: partial 16S ribosomal RNA
Rfam family: Bacterial small subunit ribosomal RNA
Source: RNAcentral
UACGGAGGAUCCAAGCGUUAUCCGGAUUUAUUGGGUUUAAAGGGUGCGUAGGCGGAUUGAUAAGUUAGAGGUGAAAUGUCCGAGCUCAACUCGGGAACUGCCUCUAAUACUGUUGAUCUAGAGAGUAGAUGCGGUAGGCGGAAUGUAUGGUGUAGCGGUGAAAUGCUUAGAGAUCAUACAGAACACCGAUUGCGAAGGCAGUUUACCAAUCUAUAUCUGACGUUGAGGCACGAAAGCGUGGGUAUCGAACAGG